ACGGCUCAGUAACACUGUGGACAAUCUGCCCUCCGGAGGAGGAUAAUCUCGGGAAACUGAGGCUAAUACUCCAUAGAUAACGAGUCCUGGAAUGGCCGUUAUCGAAAGUGCAAGCGUGUUGCUCGCUUGUUACACCAGAGGAUGAGUCUGCGGUGGAUUAGGUAGACGUUGGGGUAAUGGCCCAACGUGCCUUCGAUCCGUACCGGCUAUGUAAGUAGGAGCCGGGAGAUGGAUACUGAGACAAAGAUCCAGGCUCUACGGAGCGCAGCAGGCGCGAAACCUUCGCAAUGCGCGAAAGCGUGACGAGGGGACCCCGAGUUCCCCAGUACAACUGGGGAUUUUGUAGAGCGUAAAAAGCUUUAAGAAUAAGUGCUGGGUAAGACCGGUGCCAGCCUCCGCGGUAACACCGGCAGCGCAAGUGGUGGUCACGUUUAUUGGGCUUAAAGCGUCCGUAGUCGGUUCAGCAAGUUCCCUGUGAAAUCCUGCCGCUUAACGGUAGGGCUUGCAGGGAAUACUGCCGAGCUAGGGACCGGAAGAGGUCAGGGGUAUUCCCGGGUAGCGGUGAAAUGUUAUAAUCCCGGGAGGACGACCCGCGGCGAAGGCGCCUGACUAGUACGGGUCCGACGAUGAGGGACGAGAGCUGGGGAGCAAAAC
Molecule: ribosomal RNA, 654 nt
Filed under: uncultured archaeon
Lineage: Archaea
Description: bacterial SSU rRNA
Rfam family: Archaeal small subunit ribosomal RNA
Source: RNAcentral